AUAAAUCCUAAGUGCGUAUCACAGGAGCACACAGUUGAGAUUUAUGCAACGAAUCUGAGAAGGGGGGGGGGACUCAAUGAAGGAAGGAGGUCAAAGAUGUUUUUUUUACAGGCGUAAGACGAUCACAAGAAACCGAAAUGUCCGCCUUAGUUCUCAGGUUCUCCAGCCCUUGCAUGCAGGGUUUACUGUCGUCGUCUCUGUCUUCAUUUUCCUAUAAGGUUUACAGACAUGAGCGCCCGCACGGGGAUUCUGGGCAG
Non-coding RNA from Biomphalaria pfeifferi, 257 nucleotides. The record is from the annotation of a GenBank genome assembly. Lineage: Eukaryota; Metazoa; Mollusca; Gastropoda; Planorbidae.